Non-coding RNA from Danio rerio (zebrafish), 73 nucleotides. Lineage: Eukaryota; Metazoa; Chordata; Actinopteri; Cypriniformes; Danionidae. The record is from Rfam.
GGGGAAUUAGCUUAAAUGGUUAAGCGCUCGCUUUGCAUGCGAGAGGAAGCGGGAACAAUGACUGCAUUCUCCA